RNAcentral lists this ribosomal RNA (577 nucleotides) under uncultured bacterium. Its description in RNAcentral is "bacterial SSU rRNA". It matches the Rfam family "Bacterial small subunit ribosomal RNA", at positions 84 to 669 of the family's 1533-position model. The record is from RNAcentral.
GUCGCGAGUAAGCGGCGAACGGGUGAGUACAACGUGGAUAAUCUACCCUAAGGUCUGGGACAACCCCGAGAAAUCGGGGCUAAUACUGGAUAAGACCACAGUAUCCAAGGAUACAGGGGUAAAAGAUUUAUCGCCUUUGGAUGAGUCCACGCCCCAUCAGGUAGUUGGUAAGGUAAAGGCUUACCAAGCCUAAGACGGGUAGCCGGCCUUAGCGGGUGAACGGCCACAUGGGGACUGAGACACGGCCCUGACUCCUACGGGAGGCAGCAGUGGGGAAUAUUGGGCAAUGGGCGAAAGCCUGACCCAGCGAUGCCGCGUGAGGGAUGAAGGCCUUCGGGUUGUAAACCUCUGUCAGGAGGGACGAUGGGACUUUGUCUUGACGGUACCUCCAGAGGAAGCCCCGGCUAACUCCGUGCCAGCAGCCGCGGUAAUACGGAGGGGGCAAGCGUUGCUCGGAAUUACUGGGCGUAAAGGGUCCGCAGGCUGUCAGGCAAGUUGGUUGUGAAAUCCCAAGGCUUAACCUUGGAAUUGCAUCCAAAACUGCCUGACUAGAGUCCAAGAGAGGUUGGCGGAAUUC